UGUUUUGAAAGGGUUUGCACUGACUUGGAGCUGCACACAGUACAACCUUCACUGUGAAGGAUUUUGAUGUGGAAGUCUGGUUUUGCAGUACUUUGGUUUCUGUAGGCUGGGACCAAAUCAAGAAGUGGAAAAGCUUUGAGAUCAAUGAAGGAGGCUUCCAAUUUUCAGAUGAAGAGGUAUAACUUUAGGUUUUGAGAUGAAGAAGGCAGCUUCCAUGAUGAUCAAGACUUGCUUAGGAAAUCCUUGUUACACAAUAAAGAUGAGGAGUACACAUGUAAACUUACAUUGAUCUAUUAAUAUGAGAUGUUGGGGUGAAUUUCAAAUAGUCCUUUUUAUGAUGAAUGAAUGAUAUAUCGGUAUAUACAUGUUGAGAGAAUUUGAAACAUCUAUAUCAUGUAAACGAUUAGUUCAUGCUA
Molecule: long non-coding RNA, 416 nt
Organism: Carya illinoinensis
Lineage: Eukaryota; Viridiplantae; Streptophyta; Magnoliopsida; Fagales; Juglandaceae
Exons: 2
Source: RefSeq, a predicted model, not a curated record